This 779-nucleotide ribosomal RNA is filed under the name uncultured bacterium. RNAcentral's name for it is "bacterial SSU rRNA". It matches the Rfam family "Bacterial small subunit ribosomal RNA", at positions 65 to 830 of the family's 1533-position model. The record is from RNAcentral.
AGGGGCAGCGGUGGUGAAGGCUUGCCUUCACCAGCCGGCGACCGGCGCACGGGUGAGUGACACGUAUGCAACCUGCCUGCCACAGCCGGAUAAUCGGGAGAAAUCCCGUCUAAUACGGCAUAAUGCAUCGACGGGACAUCCUGUUGGUGCCAAAGGUUAAUUCCGGUGGCGGAUGGGCAUGCGUCGCAUUAGUUAGUUGGCGGUGUAACGGACCACCAAGACGACGAUGCGUAGGGGUUCUGAGAGGAAGGUCCCCCACACUGGUACUGAGACACGGACCAGACUCCUACGGGAGGCAGCAGUGAGGAAUAUUGGUCAAUGGGCGGGAGCCUGAACCAGCCAAGUCGCGUGAGGGAUGACGGCCCUAUGGGUUGUAAACCUCUUUUGCCGGGGAGCAAAGUGCCGCACGUGUGCGGUUUGGAGAGUACCCGGAGAAAAAGCAUCGGCUAACUCCGUGCCAGCAGCCGCGGUAAUACGGAGGAUGCGAGCGUUAUCCGGAUUUAUUGGGUUUAAAGGGUGCGUAGGCGGACGCUUAAGUCAGCGGUAAAAUUGCGGGGCUCAACCUCGUCGAGCCGUUGAAACUGGGUGUCUUGAGUGGGCGAGAAGUACGCGGAAUGCAUGGUGUAGCGGUGAAAUGCAUAGAUAUCACGCAGAACUCCGAUUGCGAAGGCAGCGUACCGGCGCCCAACUGACGCUGAAGCACGAAGGCGUGGGUAUCGAACAGGAUUAGAUACCCUGGUAGUCCACGCAGUAAACGAUGAAUGCUAGUUGUCCGGGGC